CUUUCCGUUUAUCAAGUAUGAAUCUUGUCAAAUAAAUCAAUGGCUGAAAUGCAUCAAGUGGAGCAAAAUCAAAAUUCAGUUUUGGGAAUUCCAGUCUAUAAAAUCAUUGAAGAGGUUAAAUAUACUGCAAAAGUAUAAAGAUGUCACUGAGAAACACAUAUCUGAUAAAGAUCCUUCCUGCUUGAACUUGAAGUCUGCCUCAGAAAGAUCUCGAAGUGGUGGAAGAAAGUUGACAUGCAAAAAGGACAAAAAGAGACAAAGAUAGCAAAUGAAUUUAUGAAAUAAAUCUUGUAUCAAAAGAAAUAUCAUUGUAUAACUAAAUUUGAUAUUGCUCCUCAGUAAAUUUGUAUUCAUUUAA
This is a long non-coding RNA of Mytilus californianus (California mussel), 358 nucleotides long. RefSeq lists it as uncharacterized. The record is from RefSeq and is a predicted model, not a curated record. The transcript is spliced from 3 exons. Lineage: Eukaryota; Metazoa; Mollusca; Bivalvia; Mytilida; Mytilidae.